This 560-nucleotide ribosomal RNA is filed under the name Priestia megaterium. RNAcentral describes it as "bacterial SSU rRNA". It matches the Rfam family "Bacterial small subunit ribosomal RNA", at positions 924 to 1481 of the family's 1533-position model. Lineage: Bacteria; Bacillati; Bacillota; Bacilli; Caryophanales; Bacillaceae. The record is from RNAcentral.
CACCAGCGGUGGAGCAUGUGGUUUAAUUUGAAGCAACGCGAAGAACCUUACCAGGUUUUGACAUCCUAGGACAACUUUAGAGAUAGAGCGUUCCCCUUCGGGGGAUAGAGUGACAGGUGGUGCAUGGUGGUGGUCAGUUCGUGUCGUGAGAUGUUGGGUUAAUUCCCGCAAGGAGCGCAACCCUUGAUCUUAGUUGCCAGCAUUUAGUUGGGCACUCUAAGGUGACUGCCGGUGACAAACCGGAGGAAGGUGGGGAUGACGUCAAAUCAUCAUGCCCCUUAUGACUUGGGCUACACACGUGCUACAAUGGAUGGUACAAAGGGCUGCAAGACCGCGAGGUCAAGCCAAUCCCAUAAAACCAUUCUGCAGUUCCGGAUUGUGGGUUGCAACUCGCCUACAUGAAGCUGGAAUCGCUAGUAAUUGCGGAUCAGCAUGCCGCGGUGAAUACGUUUCCCGGGCCUUGUACACACCGCCCGUCACACCCCGAGAGUUUGUAACACAACGAAGUUCGGUGGAGUAACCGUAAGGAGCUACCCUUCUUUUAAGAUUUCCGCCCGGGU